AUGGGGAGAAGAGUGUGGAGAAGAAAGACAAUGAAAUCACAAAUGAGAGUGGUGAUGAAAAAACUGAUGGUGAGAGUAAGGACGGUCAAGAAGAGAAGCCUGAUGGCGAUGCCGCUCAGGAGGAGCAACCUAAAAUAGAAGAGAACGUGGAAGAAAAUGGAGAGAAGGAUCAGAGCUCAAACUCCAACGAGGUAUUUCCUGAUGGGGCCCAAUCAGAGCUUCUGAAGGAGUCAAAUACCCAGAACGGUUCAUUCCCCACACAGGCUGCAGAGUCAAAGAAUGAAAAGGAAGUCCAAGCGUUACCGAAGUCUUCAGGCGAUGCAACCAGCUAUACCUGGAAAUUAUGUAAUAGUAGUGCCUCAACAGAUUACAUACCUUGCCUUGACAACGAGAAGGCUAUCAAGAAGCUUCGAACUACCAAACAUUAUGAACAUCGUGAGAGGCAUUGCCCUGAGGAGCCUCCUACCUGCCUUGUUCCACUCCCAGAAGGAUAUAAACGGCCAAUUGAGUGGCCAAAGAGCAGGGACAAGGUGAUUCUGUUUAUUCUGAAUUGUACAACACCGAAUCAUCUUUAGCUGACCAAGAUGCGUGUUUGCUUAUUACCACGCUGUGCUGUUUUUUGCAGGUAUGGUACAGCAAUGUUCCUCACACUAGGCUUGCAGAGUACAAGGGGCAUCAAAAUUGGGUUAAGGUCUCAGGUGACUAUCUCUUGUUCCCUGGGGGUGGGACUCAGUUCAAGAAUGGUGCCCUCCACUAUAUUGAUACUAUUCAGCAGGUAUAUUAUAAUCAUCCCAGCAUCUCAUAUUAGUCACUCCUUAGACUUGUACUUGUCUGCCUCACACUUUUGAGCAUCAGUGAUUGAUUUAUUGUUAUACUAUUCCACAAACAUAAUUUGUCAAAUAGCACCAUAUAGAAAUCUGCAGGUGUUGAGGACAGUUUGUAACUUUGUAUGUGCUAGACUAAGCAACAUUAGUCAUCCCUGUAUUUUCAGCCUCUCAUUCUGGCGGAUAAAACUUUCCUUUUUUUUAGUCUCAUCCCUACAUUAAUAUAGCAAAUAAGCUGAGUACUGUACCAUGAUAUUGAGGUUUCAUGUUGCGUCUUUGAACUUAAUGUUAUCACACUUGCUUUCACCCUAUGCUGAUUAAACUGCCAUUCACAGGCACUACCUGAUAUUGCAUGGGGCAAACGAAGCCGUGUCAUAUUGGAUGUUGGUUGUGGAGUUGCCAGCUUUGGAGGCUACAUGUUUGAUAGAGAUGCGCUUACCAUGUCUUUUGCUCCAAAAGAUGAGCAUGAAGCUCAAGUACAAUUUGCAUUAGAAAGGGGAAUUCCAGCAAUAUCAGCUGUGAUGGGCACCAAGAGACUUCCGUACCCCAGCAGAGUCUUUGAUGUCAUUCAUUGCGCUCGCUGCAGGGUCCCUUGGCACAUCGAAGGUUUGUCCUGCUGGUUACAUAUUGACAUGUCCUCCUUUCAUUUAUUGAUUUGCUAUAGAACUGAAUCUUAUUGCUGGCUCGCUACUUUUAGGUGGCAUGCUUUUGCUGGAAUUGAACCGCUUGUUACGCCCUGGUGGUUACUUUGUCUGGUCUGCCACUCCUGUUUACCAAAAGCUCCCAGAGGAUGUUGAGAUUUGGAAUGGUAUUUCCGUAACUACUUAACUUCGUUGUACCCUAACUGAAUGAAGUUCUUAUGUUAAUGUGACAUAUCGAAACUUCUUACCAUCAUUUUAUGAGAGGUGUAUAUCCAUAAGUAGGGUAGCUGAUAACUUGAUUUGUAAAGUCAAAGCACCAUACAGCCUCAACAACAACAACAAAGCCUUUUAGUCUCAAGCAAGUUGAGGUAGGCUAGAAAAAUAUUAUACAACCUCCCAUUUUAAUAAGACAUCCAUACCAAAAUUUAUGUUUCAUACAAAUAUCAGACUAUAGCUUGUAUAAGUUUAGCUACUCUGUACUUCCCCCUUUCUUGUAUAGCAACUACCAAGAGAACAAAUUCAGCAGACAUGAGUGAAAGUACUGAAUAAUCCUAAGUAUGAAGGGUCAACUUCUUUCAUGGAUGGAGAAGGAUUGCAUUUGUUCAAAAUACAUGCUAUGGACCAACUGUUCAAAAUUGAAUUUUAUUUCUAACAUAACAUGUGGCCACAUACCCUUUUCAGCCAUGUCUACUUUGACAAAGUCCAUGUGCUGGAAGAUGGUCAACAAGACUAAGGAUAAGUUAAACCAAGUUGGUAUGGUCAUAUAUCAGAAACCAAUGGACAAUAUUUGCUAUGAGAAAAGAUCUGAAAACAGCCCGCCAUUGUGCAAGGAAUCUGAUGAUGCAGAUGCUGCUUGGUAUGGUUUCGGUUCUUUGAGAAGAGUAUAUUUUCAAUGGAGAAAAGUGCUUCUCUGCUUUGCUUACACAGCCUUUUGAUUUGCAGGAAUGUACCGUUGGAAGCAUGCAUGCACAAACUGCCUGGUGGCUCAAAAGUCCGAGGAUCAAAAUGGCCAGAGUUAUGGCCGCAAAGGCUUGAGAAGACCCCUUUCUGGAUUGAUGGUUCCAAGGUUGGUGUCUAUGGAAAGCCUGCAAAUGAAGAUUUUGAGGCAGAUAAUGCCCACUGGAAACGGGUUGUAAGUAAAUCGUAUGUGAAUGGCAUGGGAAUUGACUGGUCCAAAGUGAGAAAUGUCAUGGACAUGAGAGCUGUCUAUGGAGGGUAAGUAAAUGGUUUUCGUAGUUUCUUGGGCAUGUUUAUUUAUUUAUUUAUAUUUUGGUAAUUCAGAUCACACUACAUAACUACUAGUUACCCAAGCUGGCACAUAGUUAAUUAAAACAUAACACUAUAACAGGCAACUUGUCCACCAUAAGUCAUCAAGCAUAUUUCUUUGAAAGAUUCAGUCAAGCAUAACACUUUUUUUUUGUUACUGAAGACUGUUGACAAGGAGAAAUGCACUGUACACCUUCUUCUUGACUAAUGCUUUACAUUGUUGCAUGGCAGUUUUGCUGCAGCUCUGAGGGACCAAAAGGUCUGGGUCAUGAAUAUCGUGCCGAUCGAUUCACCAGACACGCUGCCCAUCAUCUACGAGCGCGGUUUGUUUGGCAUGUACCAUGACUGGUGCGAGUCUUUCAGCACUUACCCAAGAACGUAUGACCUUCUGCACGCGGACCAUCUGUUCUCAAAGCUCAGAAAGAGGUCUGUAUUUCUUGCUCUUCACAUUAUUCUACCCUUCUGGUAUAUCUACUAGUGAAACCCAGAAGUUGAAGCAGACUGAUGUGACUAGUUCAGCAAGGAAACAUCAAUGAUCGUUCAUGCAACGAGUUUUGACAUGUUCCUUUGAUACGUACACGUAGCAUUGUUUGCAUGCUUUUAUUGCUUCUUGCGACUAAAACCUGUGGCGUUUGCCUGCAGUGUUUUAGAUACUAAAAAUCUGUGUUGCCUGUUUACAGAUGCAAACUGGCUGCAGUUUUCGCCGAGGUCGACCGUGUACUGAGGCCACAGGGCAAGCUGAUCGUGAGGGACACCGCGGACACGAUAAAUGAGCUGGAGAGCAUGGCCAAGUCCGUGCAGUGGGAGGUGCGGAUGACCUACACCAAGGGCAGCGAGGGCCUGCUCUGCGUCGAGAAGUCGAUGUGGCGGCCCAAAGAACUCGACGCUAGCACGUGAACUGUGUUGAGGAGGAACUGCUACCACGUAGGGGUGAAAUUAGAGGAAUUUUGUCUUCUAGAUAUGCGUAUGGCUCUUGUUGGUGCUGAAAGGACCAGAAAAUAUUUGGUGUAACUGUAGAACAAUACAUCUGUUUUUUCUGCCGUUUGUUUUCGUUUUUGUUUUUUCACAACGUUGCUGUAAGUUAGUGCUGGAAAUCACAGGUACAUUCAGUUCUACUGGGCACGUUGUUGGCUUGUCGGAUAGCAGUCGAACGAUCUUGUGCUGCAUAUGUUAUAUUUGAACUGUUGUGCAUCUCGAAUGUUCAGUUCUUUCCCAAAGGUCAGGGUAAGAGUACGUGGAGAGGAGAGCAGCGAAUGGUGGAGCGACGAGGCAAAUGAAUCCGGGACGACGGUGACGUGUGAAGCGAGAAGAUUUGUUGGAGCGCCGGAAACGUCCGAAGUUUGGGGGCGCCCCAUGGACGCACGCCACAAAAACGUUUGGAAUUCGGAAACGUCUGGAACUCAGGGUGCAGCGUUUCCCUCGUUGAUUCAUUCAUUCAGCGUGAGGAGAAGCGAUUCUCUUGGGGGCCCAGCAAACAUUCGGCACCCGUGCGCCCACUGCUACAAGACGCGGGUGACGUCCGUGUCGUUCCAUUUUCUUGAGCUCAUCUGAACGCGGGGAGUUUUUCUGUUUUCUAUGUUUUUUUUUCUCGUGUGAAAAUGAUAGAACGAACACGUUUUUUCUCCUUCUGUUUCAUGUAUUUUUUUCUUGUUGAAAUAAAUGGAGCGUUUUCCUCAUGUAAUUUUUCUGUUUUCUUGUUAAAACAAAGAAAUUUCACAGAAAUCAGUUUAAUUUUUCUCAGAAAAAACACAGAGGAAGGAAAAGAAUCCCACGUUCACGGUCUUAGUACAAACAUUGAAGUAUCCAUGGUCCAUAGAAUAAUGGGAUCAAACAGUUGUGGACAAAACAAGAGAAGGGCACCGGGCCGCCUUGCUUUUAUAUAUAAUAUAUAGAAAAUACGUAUAUAUAUAUAUAUAUAUGUACUCUUGCAUAUGUACACUAGUAGCACAGCAGUAGGGCCAGCGUCAAAAAAUGGCAAGGCGGCGCGGGGCCCGCGGGCCGCGUGUCUGGCCACCUGCCCAGCUGGGCGCGCACGUGGGGCGAAAGAGACGGCCUUGGCCCGGCUCGCUAGGUGCAGGGAGGCGCCGCCGCCUGGGCCGGGCCGUGGGAGAGCCAGCGGGUGAAGGCGUCCAGCGUGCGGGUGUCGGCGCGGUAGUGGCGCUGCGUGAAGCGCAUGAGGUCGGCCCAGGUGAAGUCCGGGUAGCGCCGCGGCGCAGCACUGGCCGGCGGGCGCACCACCCGGUCCUCGCGCGGGCACAGGAAGAAGGCCAGCGACCGCCGCGCCCGCCGCUGGUUCACCACCGCGCGGUGCAGGCAGCUCUUGUACCUCCCGUUCGACAGCGCCUGCAUGGCAUGCGGGUUAGCACAGUGCACAAGAAUCAUCGUGUCGGGCUGUCUCAUUGUUGCGGUGCGCCCGGCGGCGGGCCAGGCCGCGACAACCGGACGCGUGCAAGUGCCUGCCACCCACACGGCCAAGGGCCCGAGCUGUUUGGAGCCCCGGCGUGGUGUGGGCGCCGCGUGCCGGAUCGCCAGCGAAACCGCGACAAAAGUGCAAGCGGAAACGGCGGGGGCAACAGCAGCCACCACGUACCGGUGACCCGAUCCAACCCAACCCGACUCCAACCAACCUUGUACUAUAUACUAUACAUUAUACUCCGCGCGACGGCCCUCCGCGCCCGUGCGGCAUCGCAUAGGGCCGCUCGCGUGGCGCGGCGGAUCAGACGGGAUGGGCGCCGCACCGAGCGUCGGUCUCGGUCGUCGACCCAUUUCUCGGCCAUGGACACCGAGAGGGGGAAACCGACAAGGCCGCGCGCACCUGGACACGGCCACCCGCCGAAAGCGUUGCCCUGCCCGGCACCCAUCGUAUCGUCUCCCCGCCACGUCCCCGUCGACGUCCCCGCCGCCGCGCAAGCCUCUCCGCAACGCUCCAACGCCACAAACCAACAGGGAACUUGCUACCGCUAGCCGACCCCCUCGGUCCGUUCUCUUGUCGCAACUCUCCCCCGGAAGCCUCGAUCGGCCUGGGCGCGGCCGCGGAUAGACUAGAGAGAGCGCGCCGCGGCCGCGUGUACCUGCCGUAGCCCGCCGAGAUAGGAACCAACUCGAACGCAUGUCUCUAUUGCAUUUGCAUCGGCAUCGCUAUGUAUGUACUAGCUACAUGACAUGCCUACGUGUGCGUGCUGUAAUAACCUGCCCGUUUAGGUCCACUAGGAUUCGGGAAAUAACAGCACAGAGAGAGCUCAACUGAAUAUACACACAGGACAAGAGCGGCCAAGGAAAACAGAGGAGCGAGCGCUUUCGUUUCGUUACCAUGAAGGUGUCGCCGAUGUUGAUGACCAUGGCGCCCGGGACGGGCCGGACGGGGCGCCACUCACCGUCCACCAGCACCUCCAGCCCGCCCACGUCGUCCUGCAGGAGGAUGGUGAGCGCCGUGGGGUCGCAGUGCGGGCCCGUGCCCAGCGUGCGCUCCGGCUCCGGGCACGGCGGGUAGUAGUUGCACCGCAUGAUGGACCGGCUGUCCUCGAAGAACUCCCGGUAGUAGCCGCGCAGCUCCACGCCCAGGCUCAGCUCCAGCAGCUCCAUGAUCGUCAGCGACAGCUCCUUCAUCUCCUCGCAGUACCUCUGGUACACCCACCUGCCACACAUGCAUGGGACGGGACGGGGGUUCAUACGUCUCCCGAGUCCCGACUCGACCGCACGCCGACGUGCGGUAAAUGUAAACCGGCGCUCCUUCUUACUACCUUACUUACCCCAUUGGCUCGAAAUCCUGGCCGAGGGUGCCGACGAAGUAGUCCACGACGACAGGCGACGCGGCGCCGUCGUGGUAGCCGAACGACAGGGUCUCCUUCCAGGGGAGCUUGGCCGCGAACCGGUCGGCGUGCGCGCUCGUGUACCCGGACACGGUGCCGGGGACGCGCCGGGCGCGCUGCUUCUCGGCGAGCGGCAGCCGGAAGAAGUCGCUGGCGCCGUCCAGCGCGGCGCGCCCCAGCGCCGCGUCCACGCCGUGCCCGCACACCUGGAAGAACCCGUGCGUCGCGCACGCCGCGGCCACCUGCGCCGCGGCGCGCCGCAGCCCCGCGCGGUCGCCAUUGCGCAGCACGCCCACGUCCACCAUCGGCACCUCCAGCUCCGCGGCCGAGGACGGCCGCGCCUCUUCCUGCGGCCACAGGAAUGGCGCGGGGAUCUUGGGCUCCCGGCGCAGGUCGAACACGGCCGCGCCGGCCUUGCUGGCCGCCGCGUCGGCCUUGUCCUUGCCAGCGGGGAGGUCAAUGCUGGGGCUGGGAGUGGGGGCGCGGAGGAGGAGCGGCGGGGCCGGGCUGGCGUCCAUGGACGUGGCUGCGCGCUUGGCGCUGCUGCUGCUGCUGCUAGGCACAGCUGGCUCUUGUCGUUCCUGCGACACCAUGAGAUGUGCGAGCUGCAAGUAUGCAGGGAAGCUGUCCGGGCGGGUGGGGGUAUUUGUAACAGGGGAGGACAGGGAGUUUGCGAGCAACGACAAAGACGAAGGCAGGGAGGGAACAUUUGGAGGGAGGCGCGGCCUCAUGUGGGACCCGACACAGUGGAGCCCAUGGCCAUGGCGCUUCGUUGGAGGCAGCCCAUAUAGAGCCGAGAAGGCACAGGCCUAUUUUAAAGUAAAGUAUUAUAUAUUUGUAGGUACAUUACAAUUUUUUUAUAGCAUAAGGUGUUUGAUUGUAUUUCUAAAAACUGUUUUUUAAUUAUUUUAUUUUAAAAGUAUGCAAUUUUUAUUACGAAACUCACUUUAAUUCAAAAUUUUUAUAGCAUAGCUAGCUUUUGACUAAAACUAUUGUAACAAUAAUCUAAUCAAUUUUGGUCGGUAAGAGGCCCAUAAAAAUUAGACCUGGUUUACAUAUAUUAGCUAAUUUUUAUUGGUAUAAAAAUAGCUAAUUUUCACCGACUAGUGAAGGCCAAUAAGCCAUUACCGGAAAUUAAUGAGCGUUCUUCAAUAAUUAUCGGUCGUGUGAAGCUUCACCUAGUGGUAAUGACUGAAGACCAUUUAGUAAUUACCGAUGGAUGAAGCUUUACCUACACCAACGAAUAGUAUAUGAGUGUGUAUAUAUAUUCAUAUGGUUCCAUCCACAACAUACAUAUUCAUCUACAUCACAUAUGUUCACAAGUUAAUCCACACCACAUAAAUUAUCAUAAUCAUAUUUAAAAAUCAUAACAAAUCUUUAAGUAACAUGAAUCGUUCUAAAUAACAUAAUAAACACCAAUACUUAAAUAUUAAACAUCUUUUAGCUUAGAUUCAUAGAAUAAUUAGAGUUCUUAUCAUCUACCUAGAGUAUUAUUUAACAACUGGUUAAUGAAUGCGUUAGACCCCUCAUCAUUCGUGUCUUUAGGUGUUGCUAAUUAUAAAGAAGGAACAUAAAAAUCAUGCAAGUUACAAUUAGUUGGAAAUAAGUCAUAAUGAUUAAAAUUUUAUAGAGUUUAUCUAAAUUGAUUAGUUUUUGCUAAAAUUUGAGAUAGAUCUACUAAGUUAUGCUACAAUAUCUAUCUUUCGCUAUAGUUGAGCUAGAUUAGAUUGAUUAGUUUUUCCUAAUAUUGAUCUAAGUUGUGCUAGAUUAGCUAAGUUUAGAUAAAAUUGAGCUAAGUUGGCUAUUUUUGCUACAAUGAAGCCAAGUUGCCUAAUUUUAUUAGAAUUGAGCUAAGUUGGCUAUAGAUAUGAUUAUUUGAGGUCCAAGCACCAAUGAAGAACCCAUUAUGAUGGUGGAGAUGGUUGUGGUAUCUAGAACAUGGUAAAAGUGAUGGUUAUCCCCUUUUGUCACAACAUUAUUUAUGAAUGAAAUAGAUAAAACAUUAUUCGCUACGUUAAAUACUUAAAGAUAGCAAUAGAAGAUCAGUUGAACUUACUUAAAACAUCAUGUGUUGUUGUUCUAUAUAGUUAGAUAAAUACUCAUCACGAUGUCAUUCAUUGACCCGAAACUAUUGAUCAUAGUCUUGAUGUUGCCUCUUCUGCUCAUCAUGUAGUUUGUCGUGGUUCGAUGACCACUAACUCUAGAACUCUGUGUGAGGGUGCUGACUUCUGAGCUCUCACCUUCCUAUAGUUAGUCACUCCAUUAAAUACGAAGUACCUAUAGCACAAACAGUUUAGAACGCUAAUUUCAUAUUUUACUCUUUUCAUGCUACUCCGCUAGCGUGCACAACAAAAGGAUCAACUGUUAGCACUCGUCAAUUGCAAUCUUCUUCGAAUCGAUUGACCACUUUUUGACCAUAUUGUGUCUAUGGUACAAACAAACAAGCAAGCAAGAUAACAAUAAAAUUUGAUACAAUAAAUAAAAAGUAUAGACAACUUACUAGACGAUAUGUGUACGACUGACUACAAUUUCUCUAGGUUUGAAGAUUAUGAUUCAUGUUGUCCAACAUUUGGCACUACUACAGUAAUAGCUAUCUAUAUAGACAAUGUAUUCCUCGUUAUAUGCGAUAGUCAUUGUAAACAUAUGAUAUAAUACAACUUAACAUGCAUUUAGCUUUGCAUAUAUGGUCAUCAGUGCCAUAAGUGUGAUUUAGAUCAUUAUCACUGUUUUGUCUAUGCUUCUAAGACAAAUCAUGGAACUCUUUCAUAGCCUAGAGUUUGCAAAGAUCAUGGUAAGCCUUCUUAUAUAGUUUACCACCCAUGAAACUAUCACCUAAACAUAUAUUUGUUCAUAAUUAAAUCAAUAUUAUGCUAGGAGUUUAAGAUAAAAUAUCCAAAUAUGUUUUACUUUAUAGUAUUGCUCCUCAGUCAAGUAAAUGGGCCAAAGGACGCACACCAAUGUAUCUAUGUUAUCCAAUUUUAACAUAGAUAAUUCAAACCUCAAAGUAAACAAAAAUGAUAUAUGCCACUAUGUAUACCAAGUACAUAUGCACACAAUAGUGAAAAUGUAUUUUAUAGUUUAUCAAUUGCAAAAAAAAACAAGUUUCUUUAACAAACCAUAUAUCAUGACCCUAAAACCCAUUCUUAAUUAUAUUGAAAGUCUGCAACAAUGUUUUUUGCAAAUUUUAUUUUAGAUGUCUAUACAUUUUACAUAUGAAUACUGGUAGUUUAAUUAUAAUCACUCUAUUUUUUAAAGAACAAUACACACAUACAACUCUUUGGUAGAAGAAAAUUCAAUGCCUUGAGUGUUGUGGCGUGGAUUAAAACACAUGAUGAUGCUAUUGUUGUAAGUAUUAGUGAAGUUUAGGAUCUAUAUUUUCAAUAAAUUAUAUAAAAACAACACAUGAUUCAAACUUAACACAUGGAUAUGAAAAAAUGCUAAAACUAACAUGAUUAAAAAUUUGCAGCCAAAAUAUCGAUUCAUGUAUGGUGCCAUAGAAAGGAUGCAAAGAUCCGAUAUAAUUUAAGUUAUGGUUUAAAAUAAAUGAGUAUUUAAAUCAAUGGAGGUGUAGCGCAAAGAUUAAAACACAUAGAGAAUAAUUGAAAAUUUUGUCGAAACAUAUAAAGCAGUACCUUAGUAAAGGUGAUGCAGUUUUAAUUGCAUCAUUAGUCAAAUUUAUCUAAAGUUUGACCAAACAAUUAAUAUAAGAAGAGUAUUAGACACAAAAUAGGUAUAUUGUGAACAUAUAUUAUAUGAUAAAUCUAAUAAUACAUAUUAGUAUUGUAAAUUUUGCUAUUUUAAAAGGGUGAAAACAAAUACUUAUUCAGAUAUCAUUUUUUUGGGUAUUUUCUCUUUGAUUGCGAAUAAAUGGGAUAUAAAAUCUACUAUAAAAAAUCGUAUUUUUGUUUCUAUCAUGAGCUUAUAAAGAUUCAUAAAAGGUAAGCUUCAAAUUAUCAUAUAUUUUCUCAAAUGAUAAAUAUAAAUUUCGGAUACUUAUUUGGGUGCGAAUAUUUUAACUUUUUUUGUGUAGGCAACAAAUAACACAUAAAACAAUUUAUGCAGAAUUUUAUUCUUAUUUGUAAUCAUAUGCUUGGUUAUAUAAGGAAAGAUCAACAUUAAAUUUCAUGCAUAUUUAUUUUAAAAUAUUAAAUUUGUCCUAACAAUUCGAAUACCCACUUUCAUUUCUAUUUUUAAUAAUUAAACUUAGUAAAACCACAUAUGCUUUGCUGGUGCUAUGUUAAAAUUAUAUUAUUUUUGGAAUGCUAGAAAACGAAUAAAAAAUAUUAUAGUAAUUUUGGAUUAAUUUUAUCACUAAAUUUUUAAUACUUAUACAACAUAUAUCCUACAAAGAGUCAUUGUAGGAGUGUGGGGGGGGAAUAUUAAUGCAAUUGGUAAAUGACCAAAUACCUCUAAAAAUUUAGCUUAUUGUGUUUUUAUUGAGUUGGAAUAUAAAAUAUCUAGAUACGACCCAGAUAUUAUGUUGUAAUAUAUAUUAUUUAUGGAUAAAAUUUAAACAAAUGGUAGAAUCAUAUCCAGCCUGAUUGGAUGACUGUGCGUCCAUACGCAGGCUGACACCGCACUGACAAGUCAGAUACGAUAAUUUUGAGCGUAUGGGUGGAUGCAGGUUAAUAGCAUCAAAAUAACUUAUUUUGCAUUCACUCAUGUAGAUUAUGACUCUCAUAUACAAUUAACCAAACAUAAUUUUAAAUAAAGUCAACGUAUGCGAUGAUAAAAAUGAGAUGAUGCGAGCAACCAGUUAGACGGAUUGUCUAUGGGAUUAGGGAGUGAGAAUAUAGAUUUUCGUGGAGCACGAAUUGGGCUAGUAUGUAGACGUCGUAAUGAUUCACGUGUACUACUUUGAUCACGCAACAGUUGUUUUUUUGCGAGCCCGACGCAGACACGUCAGUGAAUAGCAGGGUGCCACACACGACAGAUUACGUACUUGGAUGUUGGAUGUGCAUACUGCAUAGACAGGCAUAUGGAAUGGAGCGCGCGUGUGUCGCUAAAGGAAGCGACCCCAUGCGAGGACACCACAGCUAAAACUGAGGAGGAGGGGGCGGGCGGUGGGUGGGUGGGACGGCCAGCGGUGAGGUCGCCGUGGCCGGGGCAGUGGACUAGGCGGCGGCGGUGUUAUCGGCGAGCUACUGUUUCAUGUCCGGUGGGCUUAGAAGGAGGGAUCCGGAGGCUAACGGUGGUGGCGGGCUGAGUUGUGAGCAGGCCGAGAAAGAUAACCGGAUAAGCAGUGCCGGCGGUGGCGGUGGUCAGGUGAUGAUCUUUUCUUCACCGAUUGGAUUUAGGGAUGAGCCGUCGGUCGGUAGAGGUCGGAGGUGGGCAGGGUUCGUCGGAGAAGAAGGGCAUGCGGGUUGGAGAAGAUGAAUAGUAACUAUGCGUUGGCUGCCUUAACGUAUUUUACUUUACAUCAACUUGCAUCUCUGUAGCCAAAUACAAAAACACCACCUGCAGCCUGCAGGGGAUGGUAUGCACUGUCUCGCCAUGGUAGCAUAGUCUACCAUUUAUUAUCUACUACUAUAUCUGCUAUUAUUGAAACUAAAGUCCAUUAUAUUAUUCUAUUGUCCAUCAUCGUAUUUUAAUUUUACCUUUUUAAUAUCCUCACGUGACCAUUUUUCUCCUAUAUAAU
RNAcentral lists this long non-coding RNA (12178 nucleotides) under Zea mays. Its description in RNAcentral is "long non-coding RNA (ZMAY_LNC005120)". Lineage: Eukaryota; Viridiplantae; Streptophyta; Magnoliopsida; Poales; Poaceae. The record is from RNAcentral.